RNAcentral lists this ribosomal RNA (253 nucleotides) under uncultured prokaryote. RNAcentral's name for it is "partial 16S ribosomal RNA". It matches the Rfam family "Bacterial small subunit ribosomal RNA", at positions 524 to 776 of the family's 1533-position model. The record is from RNAcentral.
UACGGAGGAUGCAAGCGUUAUCCGGAUUUAUUGGGCGUAAAGCGUCCGCAGGUGGUUAUUCAAGUCUGCUGUUAAAGCGCGAGGCUUAACCUUGUACAGGCAGUGGAAACUGGAUGACUAGAGUAUGGUAGGGGUAGCGGGAAUUCUCAGUGUAGCGGUGAAAUGCGUAGAUAUUGGGAAGAACACCAGUGGCGAAAGCGGACUUCUGGGUUGUUACUGACGCUGAGGUACGAAAGCGUGGGGAGCAAACGGG